This 460-nucleotide ribosomal RNA is filed under the name uncultured bacterium. RNAcentral's name for it is "partial 16S ribosomal RNA". It matches the Rfam family "Bacterial small subunit ribosomal RNA", at positions 33 to 507 of the family's 1533-position model. The record is from RNAcentral.
ACGCUGGCGGCGUGCUUAACACAUGCAAGUCGAACGGAAAGGCCCCUUUGGGGGUACUCGAGUGGCGAACGGGUGAGUAACACGUGAGUAACCUGCCCUUGACUUCGGGAUAACUUCAGGAAACUGGGGCUAAUACCGGAUAGGAAUCCUUGCUGCAUGGUGGGGGUUGGAAAGCUUCGGCGGUUUUGGAUGGACUCGCGGCUUAUCAGCUUGUUGGUGGGGUAGUGGCUUACCAAGGCUUUGACGGGUAGCCGGCCUGAGAGGGCGACCGGCCACAUUGGGACUGAGAUACGGCCCAGACUCCUACGGGAGGCAGCAGUGGGGAAUAUUGCACAAUGGGCGGAAGCCUGAUGCAGCAACGCCGCGUGCGGGAUGACGGCCUUCGGGUUGUAAACCGCUUUCAGCAGGGGCGAAGCUUGUGGUGACGGUACCUGCAGAAGAAGCACCGGCUAACUACGUG